RNAcentral lists this ribosomal RNA (487 nucleotides) under uncultured bacterium. Its description in RNAcentral is "bacterial SSU rRNA". It matches the Rfam family "Bacterial small subunit ribosomal RNA", at positions 28 to 513 of the family's 1533-position model. The record is from RNAcentral.
GACGGACGCUGGCGGCGUGCUUAAUACAUGCAAGUCAACUUGACUUUAGAUAGCAAUAUCGAAAAGUAGGGUGGCGCACGGGUGCGUAACGCGUAGGUAAUCUGCCCUGAGGUCUGACAUAACCCGUCGAAAGGCGGGCUAACAUCAGAUGAUAUAUAAUCACGACAUCGUGGAAAUAUCAAAUCUUCGGAGCCUUGGGAUGAGCCUGCGUCUGAUUAGGUAGUUGGCGGAGUAAUAGCCCACCAAGCCUACGAUCAGUAGCUGGUCUGAGAGGAUGAUCAGCCACACUGGAACUGAGACACGGUCCAGACUCCUACGGGAGGCAGCAGUAAGGAAUAUUGCUCAAUGGGGGAAACCCUGAAGCAGCAACGCCGCGUGAAGGAUGAAAUACUUUUGUAUGUAAACUUCUGUAAGAUGGGAAAAAUAUUACUCCUCGGGAGAAUUGAUUGUACCAUCAGAGUAAGCCCCGGCUAACUACGUGCCAGCA